Molecule: ribosomal RNA, 254 nt
Filed under: uncultured bacterium
Lineage: Bacteria
Description: partial 16S ribosomal RNA
Rfam family: Bacterial small subunit ribosomal RNA
Source: RNAcentral
UACGUAGGGGGCGAGCGUUGUCCGGAUUCAUUGGGCGUAAAGAGCUCGUAGGCGGCUUGGCAAGCCGGGUGUGAAAACUCCAGGCUCAACCUGGAGACGCCACCCGGGACUGCUAUGGCUAGAGUCCGGUAGGGGAUCACGGAAUUCCUGGUGUAGCGGUGAAAUGCGCAGAUAUCGGGAGGAACACCUGUGGCGAAGGCGGCCACCUGGGCCGACCCUGACGCUGAGGCGCGAAGGCGUGGGGAGCGAACGGG